Molecule: ribosomal RNA, 488 nt
Filed under: uncultured bacterium
Lineage: Bacteria
Description: partial 16S ribosomal RNA
Rfam family: Bacterial small subunit ribosomal RNA
Source: RNAcentral
AUUGAACGCUGGCGGCAGGCCUAACACAUGCAGGUCGAACGGUAGCACAGAGAGCUUGCUCUCGGGUGACGAGUGGCGGACGGGUGAGUAAUGUCUGGGAAACUGCCCGAUGGAGGGGGAUAACUACUGGAAACGGUAGCUAAUACCGCAUAAUGUCGCAAGACCAAAGAGGGGGACUUUCGGGCCUCUUGCCAUCGGAUGUGCCCAGAUGGGAUUAGCUAGUUGGUGAGGUAAUGGCUCACCAAGGCGACGAUCCCUAGCUGGUCUGAGAGGAUGACCAGCCACACUGGAACUGAGACACGGUCCAGACUCCUACGGGAGGCAGCAGUGGGGAAUAUUGCACAAUGGGCGCAAGCCUGAUGCAGCCAUGCCGCGCGUAUGAAGAAGGCCUUCGGGUUGUAAAGUACUUUCAGCGGGGAGGAAGGCAAUGCGGUUAAUAACCGUGUUGAUUGACGUUACCCGCAGAAGAAGCACCGGCUAACUCCGUG